RNAcentral lists this small RNA (132 nucleotides) under Escherichia coli. RNAcentral describes it as "RtT sRNA". It matches the Rfam family "RtT RNA". From Rfam's summary of the family: This family represents a bacterial cis-regulatory element known as RtT RNA. The exact function of RtT is unknown although it is thought that it may be involved in changing the cellular response in relation to amino acid starvation. Lineage: Bacteria; Pseudomonadati; Pseudomonadota; Gammaproteobacteria; Enterobacterales; Enterobacteriaceae. The record is from RNAcentral.
AUUCUGCCCAUGCGGGGAAGGAUGAGAAGCUUCGACCAAGGUUCGACUCGAGCGCCAGCGAGAGAGCGUUGCCGCAGGCAACGACCCGAAGGGCGAAGCGCGCAGCGCUGAGUAAUCCUUCCCCCACCCACN